RNAcentral lists this ribosomal RNA (467 nucleotides) under uncultured bacterium. RNAcentral describes it as "partial 16S ribosomal RNA". It matches the Rfam family "Bacterial small subunit ribosomal RNA", at positions 28 to 507 of the family's 1533-position model. The record is from RNAcentral.
GAUGAACGCUGGCGGCGUGCUUAACACAUGCAAGUCGAACGGAAAGGCCCAAGCUUGCUUGGGUACUCGAGUGGCGAACGGGUGAGUAACACGUGGGUGAUCUGCCCUGCACUUCGGGAUAAGCCUGGGAAACUGGGUCUAAUACCGGAUAGGACCACUUCUUGGAUGUUGUGGUGGAAAGUUUUUUCGGUGUGGGAUGAGCUCGCGGCCUAUCAGCUUGUUGGUGGGGUAAUGGCCUACCAAGGCGUCGACGGGUAGCCGGCCUGAGAGGGUGUACGGCCACAUUGGGACUGAGAUACGGCCAAGACUCCUACGGGAGGCAGCAGUGGGGAAUAUUGCACAAUGGGCGCAAGCCUGAUGCAGCGACGCCGCGUGGGGGAUGACGGCCUUCGGGUUGUAAACUCCUUUCGCUAGGGACGAAGCGUUUUGUGACGGUACCUGGAGAAGAAGCACCGGCUAACUAUGUG